RNAcentral lists this long non-coding RNA (368 nucleotides) under Ananas comosus (pineapple). RNAcentral's name for it is "long non-coding RNA (ACOM_LNC000185)". The record is from RNAcentral. Lineage: Eukaryota; Viridiplantae; Streptophyta; Magnoliopsida; Poales; Bromeliaceae.
GUAUUUAUUUUGAUGUAUUUAACUUCAACUCUGCAGGAGGAGAUCCAACUACUGCAACAAUUAAAUUACAUCCAAAUUAGUCGCAGUUUCAACUGUAACAGUUGAAGAGAGCAAUUUUAAACACUUUAAUUAUUUUUAAAUAAAAAAAUAUAUUGAAGAUAAUCUUAUAAUCAUAUAUAUAAAAUGAUAGAAUUUUAAAAAUUAUUUCUCAACUGUAUGCAACGAAACAAAUUAUUUAUAAUUACAGCACUUUCUACUGCAUGUAACUAAACAAGAUGGAUGUAGUUACAACUGCUGUAUUUUUAACUACAUACAUUUUCCACUAUACUGUAUUUAUAAUUACGACUUGUACUCGUGGACAUAAUAAC